RNAcentral lists this long non-coding RNA (2815 nucleotides) under Salmo salar (Atlantic salmon). RNAcentral describes it as "lncRNA (ENSSSAG00000113583.1)". Lineage: Eukaryota; Metazoa; Chordata; Actinopteri; Salmoniformes; Salmonidae. The record is from RNAcentral.
CCCUUUCAUACUUUAACUAUUUGCACAUCAUUACAACAUUGUAUAUAGACAUAAUAUGACAGUUUAAAUGUCUAUUCUUCUGGAACUUUUAUAAUUGUAAUAUUUACUGUUCAUUUCACUUUUUUUUUUUUUUAAUUAUCUACUUCACUUGCUUUGGCAAUGGAGAGAGAGAGAGAGAGAGAGAGAGAGAGAGAGAGAGAGAGAGAGAGAGAGAGAGAGAGAGAGAGAGAGAGAGAGAGAGAGAGAGAGAGAGAGAGAGAGAGAGAGAGAGAUGGUAGAUGAGCGGACACCUCGGUCUUACAUUCUGACACAUUACAGGCAGAUUUCUAAAUUGGUAUUACUUCUCUCACUGAUCAUGUUUUGACACACAUGACUGAGGCUUCAUCUCAAAUGACACCCUAUUCCCUACACAGUGCUCAUAGGUAGUGCACUACGUAGGGAAUAGGGCUUCAUUUGGAACAUAUGACUGAGUUCCACCGGCCAGAUAGCCUGGUGUGUAGUUUGCUGCUCAUAUCUAAUGACUAUUUAUACACACAGCAAAUUCUCCUGUGUUGAAUCAACACUGACAUUGUUACAUUUGGGGGAGAAGGCGACCCGCAUGUGGGGCAAAGUUUUGAGACCCACAUUUUUAGCAAAAAAAUAGUUUGCAAACAAUGUAAAAUAUAUAUAAUUGACUUAAUAAAGCCGCAUACAAACAUGUUCUCUUUUUUGUUUUCUUGAGUAAAGCAGCUCCAAAAUGCAGGUGUUUCAGCCUGUCUAGCUCAGUGCUUUCUGUGGUGGUGAGGCGGGCCAGCAGAAAAUAGGAGCAUUUCGUUGUGAUUGGCUCAGUAUUCUGUCACUCAUGGGGACGUUGCGUAAUCGCCUCACAUCAGUUCUUCAGUAAUGGUAGACAUCUAAAAUGUCAGCCCUUUGAGUCCUACCAUAGAGUUAUAUUACAAGUGCCCUUCCAAGAAGGCUCAAGGUCAUUGGCCACAGAUGUAAUUACGCUAUAUGUACAGUAGCUUUGAUUGGACUGAUCAUGUCAACAUCAUACUUUGCAAAAUCUUAGCUAGCAGCCAAUCAUCAUGAAUCAAGUCUACUGGCAAAUCCUUUUUAAUCCUUGUCUCAUGAAGAGAAAUAAUGAAUAGAUAAAUAUUGAUAAAAUGUGUAUCGAUGCUCAUCGGGCCAAUGAACAUAAACAUUACACAAGAAGUUGGAAAUCGCAAAUUCAAUAAUGACUUGUUUGGAAGGAAUUGGUGACAGUGGACAUUUGCAAUUGGGAAGUCAGACUGAAUGGUCCAAUCCAACUCGGAAUUGUAAAUCUUUUCUUUUUUUCUUUUGAUGACAAAAUUUACCAACGAAGGUAAAUCCCAGUGUUUUGUAUACAUGUUUUUUUGUGUAUUUAUAAACCCAAAUGAUGUAUUCCUGACGCCUGUCUCCAAAAUCCUUUACACCAGCGUGACAAUAGAGACACAAUUGUUGGAAGAAAACAGAAACCGCUCUGUUUAUUCCAACUUCUUUAAAACAUUUUAUUUCAGUUUCUCUCGCGACCCCAUUUUCAAAUCAGGUGACCCCACAUGGAGCCACAACCCCUAGUUUGGGAAACGCUGUGUAAUAAUAGUAUUUUUAACCAUUACACCAUGAGGUUUGUAUCUCUUGACAAGGUCCCUCAGUGUUUAGGUUAAAGGACAUUACCUUUAUUAUUUACAAAUCUUUGUCACAUGCUCUUUAUGUAAGCAUUUACAAAGACUUCAGAACUGGCAACAGAAACAAAACUCAAACAUGAAUUAACAUAAUCAUAGACCAGAGUUCAGGUUUCAGCGAACAACGGAAAGGAAUGGUGCUCAACAACAAUGACAACGAUGAAUGAGAAUGGCUCACCAGGACAAACUUCCAAAACUUCAAAACUUCCACUAGUUAGAGUUAGAGCACUCAACAUAUUUUUUAACUUUUUUUUGUGAUUUAUUUUUGCUCGAUGUCAAAACAUCAAUGGAUUAAAUAGAUUUUUAUUUUCUUAUAACGAUAGAGCAACUAAACUUCCACUCACCGAAAAUAACUAACUGAAAACCACGCCCCCACGCCACCAUACCUCUAAUAUAAUUUCACAGUGUGCUUUGCCUUUUCGAGUGAAUUGUAGAAUUACCACAAUUCCUGGGGUUUAAUAUGGAUUCCCAUUAGUUCCUGCCAAGGCAGCAGCUACUCUUCCUGGGGUUUAUUAUGGAUCCCAAUUAGUUCCUGCCAAGGCAGCAGCUACUCUUCCUGGGGUUUAUUAUGGAUCCCCAUUAGUUCCUGCCAAAACAGCAGUUACUCUUCCUGGGGUUUAUUAUGGAUCCCAAUUAGUUCCUGCCAAGGCAGCAGCUACUCUUCCUGGGGUUUAUUAUGGAUCCCCAUUAAUUCCUGCCAAGGCAGCAGCUACUCUUCCUGGGGUCCAGUAAAUUUAAGGCAGUUAAAUAAAAUGUUAAAAACAUUACAAUACAUUUUCAGAACAUAUUUCAUGACAUAUUAAGUAUGUUCCCUCAGGCCACUACUCCACUACCACAUAUCUACAACACAACACAAAAUCCAUGUGUACGUGUGUGUAGUGCAUCUUUGCCUGUGUGUCUGUCUCUUCACAGUCCGUGCUGUUCUAUAAGGUGAAUAUUUUUAUCUACAUUUUUUAUCUGAUUGUACUGCUUGCAUCAGUUACUUGAUAUGGAAUAGAGUUCCAUGUAGUCAUGGCUCUAUGCAGUGCUGUGCGCCUCCCAUAGUCUGUUCUGGACUUGGGGACUGUGAAGAGACCUCUGGUGGCAUGUCUCGUGGGCUAUGCCUGAGCUGUAGGGAUAGGCGUCCUGCUAGC